GCCAAUACAUGCAAGUAGAACGCUGAAAUCUGGUGCUUGCACCGGAUGGAUGAGUUGCGAACGGGUGAGUAACGCGUAGGUAACCUACCUCAUAGCGGGGGAUAACUAUUGGAAACGAUAGCUAAUACCGCAUAACAGUCUUUAACUCAUGUUAGAGGCUUGAAAGGGGCAAUUGCUUCACUAUGAGAUGGACCUGCGUUGUAUUAGCUAGUUGGUGAGGUAACGGCUCACCAAGGCGACGAUACAUAGCCGACCUGAGAGGGUGAUCGGCCACACUGGGACUGAGACACGGCCCAGACUCCUACGGGAGGCAGCAGUAGGGAAUCUUCGGCAAUGGGGGCAACCCUGACCGAGCAACGCCGCGUGAGUGAAGAAGGUUUUCGGAUCGUAAAGCUCUGUUGUAAGAGAAGAACGUGUGUGAGAGUGGAAAGUUCACACAGUGACGGUAUCUUACCAGAAAGGGACGGCUAACUACGUGCCAGCAGCCGCGGUAAUACGUAGGUCCCGAGCGUUGUCCGGAUUUAUUGGGCGUAAAGCGAGCGCAGGCGGUUUGAUAAGUCUGAAGUUAAAGGCUGUGGCUCAACCAUAGUACGCUUUGGAAACUGUCAAACUUGAGUGCAGAAGGGGAGAGUGGAAUUCCAUGUGUAGCGGUGAAAUGCGUAGAUAUAUGGAGGAACACCGGUGGCGAAAGCGGCUCUCUGGUCUGUAACUGACGCUGAGGCUCGAAAGCGUGGGUAGCGAACAGGAUUAGAUACCCUGGUAGUCCACGCCGUAAACGAUGAGUGCUAGGUGUUAGGCCCUUUCCGGGGCUUAGUGCCGCAGCUAACGCAUUAAGCACUCCGCCUGGGGAGUACGACCGCAAGGUUGAAACUCAAAGGAAUUGACGGGGGCCCGCACAAGCGGUGGAGCAUGUGGUUUAAUUCGAAGCAACGCGAAGAACCUUACCAGGUCUUGACAUCCCGAUGCCCGCUCUAGAGAUAGAGUUUUACUUCGGUACAUCGGUGACAGGUGGUGCAUGGUUGUCGUCAGCUCGUGUCGUGAGAUGUUGGGUUAAGUCCCGCAACGAGCGCAACCCCUAUUGUUAGUUGCCAUCAUUCAGUUGGGCACUCUAGCGAGACUGCCGGUAAUAAACCGGAGGAAGGUGGGGAUGACGUCAAAUCAUCAUGCCCCUUAUGACCUGGGCUACACACGUGCUACAAUGGCUGGUACAACGAGUCGCAAGUCGGUGACGACAAGCUAAUCUCUUAAAGCCAGUCUCAGUUCGGAUUGUAGGCUGCAACUCGCCUACAUGAAGUCGGAAUCGCUAGUAAUCGCGGAUCAGCACGCCGCGGUGAAUACGUUCCCGGGCCUUGUACACACCGCCCGUCACACCACGAGAGUUUGUAACACCCGAAGUCGGUGAGGUAACCUUUUAGGAGCCAGCCGUAUUAAGGUUGGAUGA
Molecule: ribosomal RNA, 1441 nt
Filed under: Streptococcus porcorum
Lineage: Bacteria; Bacillati; Bacillota; Bacilli; Lactobacillales; Streptococcaceae
Description: bacterial SSU rRNA
Rfam family: Bacterial small subunit ribosomal RNA
Source: RNAcentral